RNAcentral lists this ribosomal RNA (379 nucleotides) under uncultured bacterium. Its description in RNAcentral is "bacterial SSU rRNA". It matches the Rfam family "Bacterial small subunit ribosomal RNA", at positions 521 to 896 of the family's 1533-position model. The record is from RNAcentral.
UGACACGUAGGCACCAAGCGUUGUCCGGAUUUAUUGGGCGUAAAGAGCUCGUAGGCGGUUCGGUUAGUCGGGUGUGAAAACUUUGGGCUCAACCCAAAGCGUGCACUCGAUACUGCCGUGACUAGAGUUCGGUAGGGGAGUGGGGAAUUCCUAGUGUAGCGGUGAAAUGCGCAGAUAUUAGGAGGAACACCGGUGGCGAAGGCGCCACUCUGGGCCGAAACUGACGCUGAGGAGCGAAAGCGUGGGUAGCAAACAGGAUUAGAUACCCUGGUAGUCCACGCCGUAAACGUUGGGCACUAGGUGUGGGUCUCAACCAACGAGAUCCGCGCCGUCGCUAACGCAUUAAGUGCCCCGCCUGGGGAGUACGGCCGCAAGGUUA